GGGGGGGAGGACACGCGAAGGCGGUGCGAGCCAGUGGACGGCCACGAAAUAACUGCUAACGCUAUAUGCAGUUUUAACUUGAGGGACUUUGAAUGGGCGGGUGGGAGGCAGGGAGAGGGGGGGGGGGGGUACAGAGGAGGAAGAGUUUAUCUAUUUCUUACCUGCCCACCGUUUUGGCGCGAUGCUCAGGUGACGCGAUACACUCCCAAAAGCGACCGCUACGGCGAGAAGGAGACCGACCGCUCUCAAACACCCGGGCUGCGGUCCGGCGACCGAGCAGACAACAGGCGACAGGAAGGAGAACAUUGGCGAUCACAAGGAGGAUCUACGCCAAAAGCCACAUGAUCGCCGACGUCACAGACCGCGGCCGGCUGACAUGUGGACUGAACAUAACUCACAUAACUAGACGUUAUGUGCAGAACCAACAGCAUCUAUUUGUAUAGCUUUAGCCAUUAUGUAUCUAGUAGCUUGUUCAGUUUCUGCAUGAAUUGUAGUGUAGCUGUUUCGGAUGUCCUUAGUCAAACUGAGUGUCCUGUUGUUGAUAUUCUGCUUGAGUUGUGAGAACACUGAUCCAACUCCCCAGGCUAAAUGAUAGCAAACAUCCAAAGAAAGCUGAUAAAUUGCCUGUCUUUCACAGUAUUAUGAAGGGGAAAUGAUAAAACAUCACAACAGUUAAACAUCAGCAGGGGGUAAUUUCUCCAACAUUGUGUUGAAAAUCAAAUCUACCUCCAGAAGGUUUUACCAUGUCGUUGAUUCACAUUUUUAUGUGUCUUCCAGACCUGACAUCAAAACCAUCUUUUGAAAGUAAAGAACUGGUAAAAAUAGUUUUGUGUGUGUGUGAGUAAUGAGUAAGGAAAGAGUUUGGUAUUUUAGCGCGGGUGAUCACCUGUCUGCUCUGAGCCUUUCACACAAAAUUCAGUAACAAGCUAUCUGAAUGUGUUAAAGUGGUCAAUUUACCCCUCAGCUGUCAGGCCACUGAUGUGUUUUCUGCUGCUUUAAUCAUUAUUUACAGUGGUUCAAGUUUGGCUUGAUUCCACGGCCCCUGCAGAGCACCAUUCAUUGAAAGUGGACCAAUCUUCUUUCCUUUACCGAAGUGUGAAAGAAACAGAGCUGACAAGGUGUCACAAGCCUUCUUUUAUGUCCCCCUCGGGCCUCGUAGAAAAACUCAGUAUGAAAGAGAGAUGUUUUUAAGCCAGACUGGAUUUUAAGGGGCUUCUCUGUGAACCUGUCCGUCGGGACAUAGGCCAGACAGAACAAAGCCGCUCCCCACUGCACCAGCGAGGCCAAAACAGUUAUGAUUUUAUGGGAGUUUAUUGCAGCCUACAUUACAUUACAUGUCAUUUAGCAGACGUUUUUGUCCAAAGCGACUUGCAUUUCAAACAUAAGGAUACACACCCAGAGGAACAAGAAAGUUCAAUUACUUCAAGUAAGCCGAUUUACAACUCGCCAUAGCUAAAGUUUGUUUUGUGUUUUUUCGUCACGCCAGGACAGCAGAGUCGUGAUCUUGUCGAGUGUUUCGAUCCUGGUCUACACGAGUGCACCGUGCUACUUAAUGCAUGUUCCACCUUUGUGCCAACAGAGGGAUGCUGGUAGAGUCAGAAUCAGAAACAUUUAUCUGCCAAGUAUGUUGAACAGGAUAUUGUCAUGGAGGGUGGUGCAUGCAUGGAACAAAAGAGAAUCAUUCUCUAUUUUAAACUAUUUUAAAAUAAAAUAUAAGUAAAAAAGAUAAAGGUGAAGGUGUACAGGCAGAUAACAGAUAACAAUACUACUACACUACUACUACUACUACUUCAAAUAGAGUCAGUCAGUGGGGGACCUCGGUGCUGAUGGAACUCAACCGUUUGCCAGGUGGAAGGAGCACAAACAGCUUCCGGGGUGAAAAGGGUCGGUUACGAAUCUUUCCAGCUCGCUUCAGGGUCCUAGAAGCGAGCUGGAGGGACAGCAGAUUGGUGGGGCUUCCAGAUAUCCACAACCAUCUUCACUGUCUUGAAGUUGCUUUGCCUCCACAACGUCACCAGAUGGUCAGAUUCCCACCUGUCGGCAGACUCGUCCCCACCAGAGAUGAGUCCAACGAGGGUGGUGUCGUCCGUAAACUUCAAGAGCUUGACAGACUGGCGGCUGGAGGUGUAGAGGGAGAAGAGGGGAAAGAACGCAGCCUUCAGGGGAACCGGAGCUGAUGGGCCGAGAGGCUGAGACAUGUUUUCCCAGCUUCAAGUGCUGCUGCCUGUCAGAGAGGAAGUCUGUGAUCCACUUGCAGGUGGAGUCGGGUGAUGCAGCAUGCUGGAGGAAUCCUAGUAAUCCUAAACCACCAAAAAUAUAUCCAGAAUCCAGGUUAGAAAAAAUAUAUUAUUACUUAUUUGUGGCUUAUCAAAUAAUAACAAGGCUCUGGGUUCGAGCCCCUUUUACAGUUUCUUCAAUGCAAAUUCCGAACAUCAGCUGCAGUUAAUGUGGCGACGUGCUUUGGGUAUCAUAGGUGACGGGGAUCAUGGACCUGAAUGUUGAUGGGUUAAAUCAUCUGUGGAAAAUGUGAGCAAAUGUGUCACACAAUAUCUGUUCUUUUUUCUGUAAAGUCAACAAUACAAGCUUAUGUAAAUAACAAUACAAAUCCAUGGAGAGAAAGUAGCUGUAACGUCUGAGGUGCCUUUUGGUGUGGAACAUUACCAUCAUGCACUUAUUUUGUGAGCCAUUAACAGACAAUAUUCAGCAAAGGCAAAAGUUGUGUUUCAGAAUAGAGCAAUUUUUACAACCAAUGUGAUCUUUGCUGAGGAAAUUGUCUUUUACAGACAGAUUUUACCUUUGAAAGCUCACAAAAGUUGAUUACCUUCCAACUCUUACAAAGGAAGUAAACUUAUCAAGCUCUGGCGAUGAUGAUGCAUUUCUGUUACAAAUUUUGUGUCGGUUCUCUUUUUCCCUAAAUAAUUUGUAAAAAAUGUAUUCAAUUCCUUUGACUUCAAUAUUCCAGUUGGUAUGAAUAUAUUUAGAACAUACCUUCCUAAUCCGUGAGACACGGAACUCUGUAAAUGUGUAAACUUCAUUAAAGUAGAAGGUCACUAGGUGGUGCCACAUGGCUGUACAAACCGCUCCUAGUUUACAAUCUGAAGCGUCCUGCCUAAAGCAUGGGUCUCCGUUUCCAGCCUGAAGUGGUCUAUCCUGUGCUUUUUAUUUUAUUUAUCACUUUCAUGUAUUUCAAUCAGCGAAUUGAAUAAGGAUGCUUACGUUUGCCGGAUUUGUGUUGGUUGAACCCAAAGUCUUUAUUGCAUCGUUAGAAAGCAUAAAACCUGCAUGAUGCAUCAAAUUCAAAUUCAAAAAGCUUAGAAACAUUAAAAAGUCAAAUCCAAUCCAGCCAGCCCGGCUAACUAGCUACAAGUUGAAGAUGAGAAGUCUGUCUUUGACAAAUAACUAUAUUUUAGUUGUAAAUCUGCACAAUAACUGUGUCAAUGUGUCAAUCUAGACAGUAAAAGACCAUAGGUCAACAACUACACUACUACUACAACAAGGGGAUGGUCUUAACGAAUAGUUAAUUGAUACAUAUGCUGCCCUAAUAUUACAUUAAUAGGCUAUUGUAGCGUUUUACUGUUCUUUAACUGUUGAGAUGGAACUAUGCUAUUGUGUGGCCAGUUAGUGUGCAUUGUGGGAUGCGUGUUUUUUCAGGUUAUGCAUGUACGUCGAGCAGUCUUGGCCCAUUCAGACAGCAGACAGUUGGAAUAUAUUCAAAAUGCUGUUUGGUAAGAAUGUAUUCACAAAUGAGCAGUGGGGUCAAUAAAUCCUGUUAUCACCACUGAAACGUCAUGCAGACUUCCCUUCCCACGUUCAGGUUUGACCGUGACACACAGCUGUGGAUACAACUAUCGCACAGCAAACAAAGAGGAGGAGAGAGGAGGAGUGGGGAAACUCAGGGGAGGGAAUAAGAGUAACGGGACAGUAUUAAUAAAAAGAGAGGUUCCAAAUCCAAUGUGAACAACUAAAGAAAGAGUGCAAAGGGAAGGACGGUAGGAUUUAUCUGAAGCCUUAAAAUGUAGUCUGGCAAAGUACCUAUCUGAAGUCUCUUAUUGGUAGACAGCAAACAGUACAAAGAAUAAAACUUGUUAAACUGCUCAUUCGGUUUCAUUCCGCUGUCAUCCGGUCUGUUCUCUGCAACUCCCUCCCGGUGGGGUUUGGAUCGGCUACCAAGCAGGAUGGGAGAAGACUGUCAGGUCUGCAGAUUGAGUCGUUGGCUGCCCCCCCAUCCUGGAUUUGUUCAUCUGCAGAGGCCGAAAACAGGCGGAAACAUCGGUGUAGACCCGUUACACCCGGGACACAACCAGCCCUCUGGUGGGCGCUACAGAGCAAUGUACGCCAGCACACACAGGACCAGCUUCUUUCUACUGGCCCAUCACUCUGAUUAAAUUACCUCUAUUUCAUGGUCAUUGUUGUUUUUUAUGUUCGUACGUAUGCAUGUACUUUUGUAUUUACAUUUGUACAUAGUAGUUCAUGUUUAUGCUUGUAUCUCUUCGAUUGCUUGUCCUUUUUUUUUCUUUUUGUAUGUGUACAGUAUAUUAUAUGUAAGUGCCUAUAGAAAUAAUGGAGUCAAAUUCCUUGUAUGCAUACGCAUCAUGACCAAGAGAGGCGAUUCUGAUUCUGAGUAGAAUCAAACAGCAGGUACAGAAAAGACUUCUGCAGAGACCCCCGCUCAGUCCCAGCAGAUGAGCGUCUAAUCAAGUCCAGAGUUUGGACUGCAGGUCCAUUAAGUACACAGCAGGUUUAGCAAAUGCACAGAAAUCGUUUCAAAGGAAAGGAGCAACCUUUGAAUUAAGAUUUUUUACAAAGGUGUUCUGCUAUUUACUGAAGAUUGUCUCAUUGGCUCAGAUGAGGAGCUCGAAGGCAACUAAACAAUCUUUUCACUGUACACUGAUCAAAGGAGCAUCAGUCCUCAAAUGAUUUUGUUGGACAAGAAAAUAAUGUGAGAAUAUACAAACAUGCUGUAGCGUAGUAUUUUCAGGCACUCCAUCUCCUUCCAUCAACGGUAUGAUGAAACAUUUCAUUAUGCCUGAAAAUCCUACUAGGCAGUACAAGGAGGAAACCAGAUCACUGUUCUUUCUCCGGUCACACUGCCUUUGUGGGAGACUGCCUCUCAUCCACGUCUAACUAUCUUUGAUUUGAAAUAAAGUCUUUUGUAAUAGACAAAAUGCUCCUUUUUUGUGAUAAAAAAGGAGCAUUCUUUCUAAUCACGUUUUUUUUUGAAAGAUUGACAGUAAUGUGCUUUCCCAAAGCACUCAAGAACAGUAAAAUGGCCAUUCUUAAUAACUCCUCUUAAUAUCCACUGGUCACAUGAAUAACAUACUUAUUCUAAUGUAGUUUUUUGUUGUUUGAUGAAAAUAUUUAUAGUGUUCAUAGUAUAGCCAACCGUUUCUGAUUCUGAAAUUAGCGGCCCGAUAGUCCGCUGCCACUACGCAUCCGACUCAAAGAGAUGAAUAGAUGGGAUGAGGCUGGCACAGUGAAAGGAAGAUGAUAUUAAAAUAUAAAGGCUAAUUCUAAGAUAAAGGCAAACAUUUGGGACUUAUCUAGUUCAUGAAAUAAAAUAAUAUUAAUGCCCUACGAUCAGACAAUUACCCGUCUCUCCCCAGAGUGUCAUUUAUUUGUAUUUUUUUUGUAAUUUUAUUGUUGGUGGGAGGAUAGCAGAUGCAUCUCCUGAGAGGUGUGGGCAUCCUCUUGCAGUGUUUUAAUUUGGGUUCCUGUGACCCCGAUGGUCAGUUUGGGAGCUGGCGUCUGCUCUCCGUCCAGCGAAGCAGCCUCCCGGCGUCGUGGCGUGAGGGCGGAGGGUCCAAGGGUUCCGGUUCUCGUCUCACUUGUAGUCUGAGUUUUAAAGCCACUGUAGAUGUCAUAUUCGUCCACGCUGCGUCAAGGCUUUGAAGGCGUGCUUUCAUUUUUAAAAACGUUUUUCCAAAUGAUGAGAAGACGGUGGCUUAGACCUUGGGGGUUAAGUUACACUUUGCACCGCUGCCACUUUUUUUUGCCCACUGAAAUAAUGAAUAAUUAAAAUGAUAAGAAAUUAAACACCUAUUGGGAAAAUUCCAAUUUGCACUAUAGAAAUAACUCAUUUUUUUCACAUGCAAUUCAGUGUACUGCAUUUAAUAAACAUAUUAUGAGUUUACUUUAGUGUGCUUCCAAAUGUGUGUGCAGGAGGAAAAACAUUCACAGAGAAACUAUAUGUCUUUGUAGCUUAAAAAACAGUUUAGACACGCUUGUUGCAUUAUAUUAAAUCAUUCUAUUGUGCAACCAUCCACUCUGUCAGUGGACACACCCUGGUUUCACUGUGUAUCUACGUAGUUUACAUUUGCAUGAUGCACUUAUGCUGUUGUUCUGUAAUUAAAGUAUACAAGACCAACAUUAUGUUAUCUGUUGCAAUGAGCCGGCUACUAUUACAGUGUGUGUUUCCCUUUUAUGUGUGUGUAUAUAGAGUUUCAGAAAGCCUCUUCUUGCUUGUCUGGUAAAAACUUGCAUCCAGCAGUAUAACGACAGUGCUGUAAACAGUGCUGUGGAUUUAUUCAGUAUAUAGUUUCGAUUUUUUUUAUUGUUACGUUUUUAUUGCAGGGCUUGUGAGUAAAGCUAUAAUCUCUUAAAGAACACACUCUUCUACCCCGUCAUCUCUGUCUUGCUGUUUCUGCCUGUUGUAUACAUUUCUC
Gasterosteus aculeatus aculeatus (three-spined stickleback) is the source of this 6662-nucleotide long non-coding RNA. The record is from Ensembl. Lineage: Eukaryota; Metazoa; Chordata; Actinopteri; Perciformes; Gasterosteidae.